ACCCGCACAAGCGGUGGAUGAUGUGGUUUAAUUCGAUGCAACGCGAAAACCUUACCCACCUUUGACAUGGCAGGAAUCCUGAAGAGAUUUGGGAGUGCUCGAAAGAGAACCUGCACACAGGUGCUGCAUGGCUGUCGUCAGCUCGUGUCGUGAGAUGUUGGGUUAAGUCCCGCAACGAGCGCAACCCUUGCCAUUAGUUGCUACGAAAGGGCACUCUAAUGGGACUGCCGGUGACAAACCGGAGGAAGGUGGGGAUGACGUCAAGUCCUCAUGGCCCUUAUAGGUGGGGCUACACACGUCAUACAAUGGCCGGUACAGAGGGUAGCCAACCCGCGAGGGGGGAGCCAAUCCCACAAAGCCGGUCGUAGUCCGGAUCGCAGUCUGCAACUCGACUGCGUGAAGUCGGAAUCGCUAGUAAUCGCGGAUCAGCAUGUCGCGGUGAAUACGUUCCCGGGUCUU
RNAcentral lists this ribosomal RNA (459 nucleotides) under uncultured Allobrachymonas sp. Its description in RNAcentral is "bacterial SSU rRNA". It matches the Rfam family "Bacterial small subunit ribosomal RNA", at positions 919 to 1382 of the family's 1533-position model. Lineage: Bacteria; Pseudomonadati; Pseudomonadota; Betaproteobacteria; Burkholderiales; Comamonadaceae. The record is from RNAcentral.